CUUGACGACCAUAGAGCAUUGGAACCACCUGAUCCCAUCCCGAACUCAGCAGUGAAACGAUGCAUCGCCGAUGGUAGUGUGG
This 82-nucleotide ribosomal RNA is filed under the name Pseudomonas putida. Lineage: Bacteria; Pseudomonadati; Pseudomonadota; Gammaproteobacteria; Pseudomonadales; Pseudomonadaceae. The record is from RNAcentral. RNAcentral also lists the same sequence under 4 other names.